Molecule: ribosomal RNA, 1013 nt
Filed under: Salmonella enterica
Lineage: Bacteria; Pseudomonadati; Pseudomonadota; Gammaproteobacteria; Enterobacterales; Enterobacteriaceae
Description: partial 23S ribosomal RNA
Rfam family: Bacterial large subunit ribosomal RNA
Source: RNAcentral
CUGGUCGAGUCGGCCUGCGCGGAAGAUGUAACGGGGCUAAACUAUGCACCGAAGCUGCGGCAGCGACACUAUGUGUUGUUGGGUAGGGGAGCGUUCUGUAAGCCUGUGAAGGUGUGUCGUGAGGCAUGCUGGAGGUAUCAGAAGUGCGAAUGCUGACAUAAGUAACGAUAAAGCGGGUGAAAAGCCCGCUCGCCGGAAGACCAAGGGUUCCUGUCCAACGUUAAUCGGGGCAGGGUGAGUCGACCCCUAAGGCGAGGCCGAAAGGCGUAGUCGAUGGGAAACGGGUUAAUAUUCCCGUACUUGGUGUUACUGCGAAGGGGGGACGGAGAAGGCUAUGUUGGCCGGGCGACGGUUGUCCCGGUUUAAGCGUGUAGGUGUGUGUUCCAGGUAAAUCCGGUUCACUUUAACACUGAGGCGUGAUGACGAGGCACUACGGUGCUGAAGCAACAAAUGCCCUGCUUCCAGGAAAAGCCUCUAAGCAUCAGGUAACAUCAAAUCGUACCCCAAACCGACACAGGUGGUCAGGUAGAGAAUACCAAGGCGCUUGAGAGAACUCGGGUGAAGGAACUAGGCAAAAUGGUGCCGUAACUUCGGGAGAAGGCACGCUGACACGUAGGUGAAGUGAUUUACUCAUGGAGCUGAAGUCAGUCGAAGAUACCAGCUGGCUGCAACUGUUUAUUAAAAACACAGCACUGUGCAAACACGAAAGUGGACGUAUACGGUGUGACGCCUGCCCGGUGCCGGAAGGUUAAUUGAUGGGGUCAGCGCAAGCGAAGCUCCUGAUCGAAGCCCCGGUAAACGGCGGCCGUAACUAUAACGGUCCUAAGGUAGCGAAAUUCCUUGUCGGGUAAGUUCCGACCUGCACGAAUGGCGUAAUGAUGGCCAGGCUGUCUCCACCCGAGACUCAGUGAAAUUGAACUCGCUGUGAAGAUGCAGUGUACCCGCGGCAAGACGGAAAGACCCCGUGAACCUUUACUAUAGCUUGACACUGAACAUUGAGCCUUGAUGUGUAG